Molecule: unclassified non-coding RNA, 295 nt
Filed under: uncultured bacterium
Lineage: Bacteria
Description: partial contains 16S ribosomal RNA and 16S-23S ribosomal RNA intergenic spacer region
Rfam family: Bacterial small subunit ribosomal RNA
Source: RNAcentral
AUAACACAUGAGAGAAGUACGAGAAAGGGGAGCAAUCCCUGAGUAAAGUGGCUAUCCCGUGAGUAACACGUGACUACCUACCUUCGAGUGGGGGAUAACUCCGGGAAACCGGGGCUAAUACCGCAUAACAUCGCAAGAUCAAAGCAGCAAUGCGCUGGAAGAGGGGGUCGCGGCUGAUUAGCUAGUUGGUGAGGUAACGGCUCACCAAGGCGAAGAUCGGUACCCGGCCUGAGAGGGCGCACGGACACACUGGAACUGAAACACGGUCCAGACUCCUACGGGAGGCAGCAUUGGG